RNAcentral lists this ribosomal RNA (269 nucleotides) under uncultured bacterium. RNAcentral describes it as "partial 16S ribosomal RNA". It matches the Rfam family "Bacterial small subunit ribosomal RNA", at positions 1223 to 1500 of the family's 1533-position model. The record is from RNAcentral.
UGUUACAAUGGCAGGUACAGAGGGAUGCUACCGGGCGACCGGAUGCGGAUCUCGAAAGCCUGUCCCAGUUCGGACUGGAGUCUGCAACCCGACUCCACGAAGUUGGAUUCGCUAGUAACCGCGCAUCAGCCAUGGCGCGGUGAAUACGUUCCCGGGCCUUGUACACACCGCCCGUCAAGCCAUGGGAGCCGGGGGCGCCUGAAGUCCGGGACCGCGAGGACCGGCCUAGGGCGAAACUGGUAACUGGGGCUAAGUCGUAACAAGGUAAC